AAGUCGUAACAAGGUUUCCGUAGGUGAACCUGCGGAAGGAUCAUUAUCAACGUAUCCACGUUUAUAAACCAAAUUCGUGAAUUGUUUUUCAUUACCUUUGGGUUAUUGGCCGCUAUCAGUUGACACAUAUGGAGUUCAUUGUAUGGUUAUGGGCUCGUCCUGAUAAUUUAAGGCUGUCUCUCCAAAGUGUAGUUAAUCAUACGUUAAUUAUUUUUAUUAACCAAUUGAACCACUUUUAUUUUUAUACUUUGUUUGAACUGAUUUGUUUCUUUACUUGGCACUUGAGUGUGCUGAGAAGGAAAAUAAAUUACGAAACAAUAAAAGAACAACUCUUAGCAACGGAUAUCUUGGUUCUC
This 356-nucleotide unclassified non-coding RNA is filed under the name fungal sp. Its description in RNAcentral is "partial internal transcribed spacer region". The stretch from base 1 to 46 matches the Rfam family "Eukaryotic small subunit ribosomal RNA", at positions 1786 to 1831 of the family's 1831-position model. The record is from RNAcentral. Lineage: Eukaryota; Fungi.